GGGGUUGUGGCUUGGUGGUAAAGUGCUGGCCUAGCACGCGUGAGGCGCUGGGUUCAAUCCCUAGCACCACCU
This 72-nucleotide transfer RNA is filed under the name Ictidomys tridecemlineatus (thirteen-lined ground squirrel). RNAcentral's name for it is "Spermophilus tridecemlineatus (thirteen-lined ground squirrel) tRNA". It matches the Rfam family "tRNA". Rfam says of the family: Transfer RNA (tRNA) molecules are approximately 80 nucleotides in length. Their secondary structure includes four short double-helical elements and three loops (D, anti-codon, and T loops). The record is from Rfam by way of RNAcentral. Lineage: Eukaryota; Metazoa; Chordata; Mammalia; Rodentia; Sciuridae.